CCUAUUUACCUCACGCGCUGUUGUGUUUUUGUUAUUAUGCUCAUCACUAUUAUUUAUGGUAACUAUCGUUAAAACUAAAGUGUAAAUAACUGGUUUUAAAUGUGUUGCUCUGAAAUGUAAACAAUACUUCGUUUUGAUACAAAACAGUUUGACUGCAAAUCAGUAUUAAGAUGAUCGUAUUGAAAUAUACUUUUUGCCAUUUUGCGUAAAUAAAUAAUCCAGUCAGCUCCCCUGUUGUCCCUUCAUCUCAGAUUGUCAAAUGCUGACGAGAAAUAAUUGUUUGCUCUUUACAAUGUUGCCUUUCCACUCUCAUUAGUCUGUUAAGAAAAUUGUAGCCAUAUUGCUGCUUCUCCCGUGCCCGCGUACGUUGUUUUUGGGCGCUGGAUGGACAGAUGGACAUUAAUUUGUCAAACCAACCAACACCCGCCACGCUUUGACGCCAAAAGAAAAAAUAAAACACUCGAGGAAAAAAUGGACAUGUAUAUACUGUUUCAUUGCAAAUCUGUAUUAAGGUGAUCAUACUAAAUAAAUAUCGCUGCCAUGAAGCCCCCAUACGUUGACAUUCUCUCCCCCCUGUGCUGCCGUGACGCGUCCACAGCUCAGCUUUUGCUUGGCUCGUAGCUACUGGCGAAUGAGUUUUAAACUACUGUAAAUAUGAUAGUAUGUCGUCAUAUGUAGUCCUGAGUCUGUUGAGAAAAGUAGUACACUAAACCAUGCUUACUACAGUCCCUGACAAAAGUCUUGUCGCUUAUCCAUUUUGUAGAAACAAUUGCUAAUAACCUGACUUUUAAUUAUUCAUUUGGUUUCAGAAAUGGCUCAUAUGAAAGCUAAGACCCUCCAAAAGACAUAAAGGUCAAAUUUUGGCAAGACAAAAGUAUUGUCGCCUACAGAAAGUAGUGUGACAAUUGGACAAAAAAAUGUACUUCAAAUACAAAAAUAUGUUACAUAACAUACAUGAUUUUGCCACCACCAAACUGUUCUCUGAGUGAAUCUCGCCUCCAGUAGGUCUCCUGCAAUAUUUGCGGCGACUAUUGUGUAAUUCAAUGGAAGAUUCAUCUGAAAAAUCCACCUUUUGCCACAAAACAGUCACAUUCGUAUGGGGUCAGAUUAGUCUCAUAAGUACUCGUACAUACAUUGUGGGAUUCGUAAACACAUAGCACGCGAAACACACACACAUUGUGGGAUUCGUACACACAUAGCAUGCGAACCACACGCAAUUGUGGGAUUCGUACACACAUAGCACGCGAACCACACACAUUGUGGGAUUCGUAAACACAUAGCACGCGAAACACACACACAUCGUGGGAUUCGUAAACACAUAGCACGCGAAACACAAACACAUUCACCAAAUGUGUGUGUGAAUUGUUUUACGCGCAUUUGCAACGUGCUUCCAAUUACAAAUUCCCACUUACGAAUACAAAUUCCCACUUACGAAUGUGUGGAUCGUUUUGAUACCCGUCAUGCGCAACUGAGAAGAACACAUGCAUUUUUUUAACUGGAGCCCGUCUUCAGCCAAUCAGACGUCUUCUUCUUAAACAGCCAAUCACAAGGGCUGGGCUGUUUCGUUACGUCACUGCUGUGCGCCUUCAAGUCCGGUGUACUGAGUGACAAGUGACAAAUGGGGAGCUUUUGUAAAAGUAGGAGCCCCGUUUUUGACAGCUCAACUCGACCGCGGGGACUAUCGAUGCAAGCUGAAGACGUCCCAUCCAUUUUGAGUGGGAGGACCUCCCAUGCACUUCAAAUGUAUUGGAUGUCAACUGGUGAAAAACUCAUUGAACCGCUCAGCAGAGGGAUGAUGAGAGCAAGAUUAGAUGUCUAAUACUGUACUAUAUGUGGCACAUUUUUAACAGGCUUUUUUUCCGCUAAAUAAAUCUUUUUAAGAUUACUUUCUCCAUUUCAAGCCUAUUUGAAAGUCAUACUUGGGAAAAUUCAGACUUCUUAAUGUAUGAUUGUGAUGUCUAUGCUUAAACCAAUUUAAGACCAUUUUAAAAGGAAAAAAAUAGACAUUAUAAGCCUGUUAAAAAUGCUACCUACAGUGACAGUAUUUAAAGGAUGGUAGUCUAUUACGGAUAUAAAAAAAUAUAUUUUUUGAAAGACUUGGAGCAACAGAGCUUUCUUGCCAAAUGAAUCACAUUUGAUACACUUAGGAUUUAGAACUCUUUCCUCAAAAAAAAAAAAAAAAAAAAAAUGGAUGCAAGUCAACUCAUGCAUCUGCAUGUUCCAUGAGAAAAACAGGAUUUAACAAGGAAAAUAGAUAUUAGAGCGCUUAUUACACAUUUUUCUUUACAAAUUUGGAAAAAAAAAGGUUUAAGACCUUAUUUUUCACAUUUUGUGAUUCUCUGACAAUUGCUUCAUAUUGCAGGCAUUAAGGGGUUAAGACCUGCCACAUGAAUUUUACUACCUUUUUAAACACUUUUUUUAUUGCGACAAACCUAAUAAGUGAUCAAUGAUGGCAAGAGAGGAUAAAGCGCAGCAGCAAAUCCUCAGAUCUGUUCUUUGGAUGCCUUUGAAAGUAAAUAGUGACAUUGAGAGCAAUCAGGAGUUCAAUUAUGUGAGGUGAGGAGACCAAGUAAGUUUUGAGACAUUUUUUUAAUUUAAAUAGACAUCUCAGACUCCCAGCCUGUAGGAGGGCACAGGCUAGAUCUCCUCGAGCCUUCAGAACUUCGGGAAGGUGGGUCUGGUUGUGCCUGAGAUCUCCAUUGGCCAUAUACUCUUCCGCAAACUGAAAUGGCAUUUUAGGCAUUGUUACAUAUCAGUGCUUAACAACAACAGCAGCAAAGUUUUACUGCAGAGACUCCGAAAUCUUAAAAUCAUUACCUUUAAUGUGAAAACCCCACAGCUACUGUUGUUCUGCUGCUUGUUAUGGGCCACAGUUUUGGUAGUCCAAGUUUCUAUUUGGAACUCACGGCCCGCCAACCUCAAGAAGUUCCUAAUUAUUGUUUUAUAAGCAAAACAAUGAAGAUGAACAUUGAACUAUUAACUUCCAUAUUAACAUAAUACUAGGAAUUUAAACUUUCUGAAGCGGUUACCUCCAAUUCCGCAAGAUUUUGCUCAUAUUUGUCCUCGUUACUCAAGGGAUCGUUGAUCACCAGUGUUCUCUUAGAAAUGUGGACAAUCUAUAAAAGGUUAGUUCCUUUGUGUAAUUCUGCACAAUGACAGAUUUAUGUAGUUAACUUACUAAUGAAAUUUAACUUCUGUAUGGCAUCAGCUAAAUUAAUAGCUAUAUAUAAUACAUUCCAGAAUCGGUAGGUCUUAAGAAAAUAUAAGAAACCCACUAACCACUAAAAUCCAAUGAGCGCAUACAGGACAGGACAGGACAAAUACACUUUUUUUUUCAACAGGGAAUUUCCUCUGAAGAACAUACAAUACCAAAUUAUUGUUAUUUUGGGUUACUGGCGUUAAAAUAAUAUAGCUAAAUAUUGGCAUGAAAUGGAUUACCUUUCUAACAGGCUGAAAUUUUCCCAAAAGCAGACUCCCAGCUACCACAGCAGAGAGUUGGUGAAUGGGCUCCUGUUAAAAAAAAGGGUAACAACAUUACAACUAUACUCCGGCAAAAAAUAAAUGCAUUGAGAAAAACUAUAUCCAGCACUUGGCUGCUGCCUUUCAAUGAGGAUAUGCAUGUAUGCAUCAAAUACUUGCAUAGCAAAAUAAAAAAAUUGACAAAAGGCAAGAAUCUUUGUUAUUUGCUAAACACUUAUUGCUCCCACUGACUUCAUCAGACAGCCAGCCGUUGCCUUUUAGCGUAUGAAAAGAUGUGUCAUAUAAUUUAUACGGUCCAACGACAGCCUCCACCUUGCCUUGAUCCUCUGCAGCCCACAGUAAUUUAACUGAAAACACAACAUUGUUAAAUCAAAAAAGUUAUUAUUUACGGCACUUGACCAGAUGACCAUCCGGUCAAAAUUAUCUACUGAAUAGGCCAAACCACCAAACAAAUCCUGUCGGUCGUUCACCAAUUUUGUAAGAGCUGUACGAAGUAGAAGGGUACAAUUAGAUAUACAUUUUAGAACACCAACAACAACUUGCCGUUUUAUGUUUGCUAUUUGUCCUCUCAUCCAGCCCAUUCGUCUUAGGAUGAUAUGCAGCUGUAACACUCCUUUCAAUGCACAGGAGGCACAAAGGUUAUCGUUGAGCUGAAAAAUUGAUACAUUGUAAAUAAAUCCAAUUAAAAAAAUAAAAAAUAAAUAAAAAAGGGGGAAAACAACAAUGCCAAAAUCCCACUGUGAAAAUAAUUUAAUGCAUUCAGAUACCUAAUUGACAAAUUCUCUUCCUUGGUCGGACAGGAUUCUUUGGGGGCAUCUGUGUCUAUAAACAAUUGAGCAGAUACGUUAUGCCACUUCUGAUGCUGUUUUGUUUUUUAAAGGAAAGGCCUCAACACACUUGGAAAAAUAAUCGGUGGCAGUAAGAAUGUACUGAAAGCCAUCCUUGGUUUUUGGGAGAGGCCCAGUCAGGUCUAUCCCAACCAACUCCCAAACAGCAGACACCUGUGAAAGGCAAAUCCAAUAUUGAACAUAUCUCUUACAGCUAUUCCUACAAAAUCUGAAGAGCACCAUGUUUUAUCUUUGAAGUUUUUAACUUAAUCUGGGUAGAUGGCUCCCACCUUGAUAUGAAGGGAACACAUAAAAACCUAAUUUUCACGCAUGUCCAAAUAUUAAAUACAUGCGUGACAUUAGACAAAGCUGUUUCCAAUUUUUCACGCAUGUAAUAAAAACCAGAAAUACAUUUCUUUAUUUGAUUACACACGGUCAGUAUGAAAAUAUACCUUAAUGCUUUGUAAUGGCUGUGUCACACACAGCCAAAGAGUUACCAGUCCUCUGACAUCCGUCGCAUUCAGAGACCUUAAAACAAAUCGUCAUGAGAAACGGGUCAGGUUAAUAAGAUCUGAAAUAGCUCACCAAAAUUAGUUAGUGACAAAAUGCAGAAAUAAACCAUCACAUACCCAUCAGUCAAUGUCCACCGUCAUGCCAUCCCAAUAAUUUCUGGAGUACAUUGAGGAUCUGGUUUUAACAGUGCCUGUGUGUGCACCAAUUGAAGCCGAGUGUACUUCAUUAAACAGUGAUCGUGCUUCUGUUUGGGACUGGAUCACAUAUAAACACAAAUACACACAAAUAACAAUUAUAUAGCUGUAUACACACACACACACACACACACACACACACACACAUAUAUAUAUAUUAUAAAUAACAGCAACAUCACAAAUACUUUGCCUACUCAC
Long non-coding RNA from Corythoichthys intestinalis (scribbled pipefish), 5212 nucleotides. RefSeq lists it as uncharacterized. The record is from RefSeq and is a predicted model, not a curated record. Lineage: Eukaryota; Metazoa; Chordata; Actinopteri; Syngnathiformes; Syngnathidae. The transcript has 2 exons.